Molecule: microRNA precursor, 321 nt
Filed under: Oryza sativa (Asian cultivated rice)
Lineage: Eukaryota; Viridiplantae; Streptophyta; Magnoliopsida; Poales; Poaceae
Description: miR7693 stem-loop (osa-MIR7693)
Source: miRBase by way of RNAcentral
GGGCGAUGAGGAAUCUUCUGGAAGGUGUGGUGCCACUCCGGCAGUCGCAGCCUCCUCAACAUGGGAAUGGCGACAGUUGGGUUGAGGAGGCUAGAGGUUUCCGCUCUUCAUCGAUGGCUGUCUGUCCUUGCCUCCUCGGCCCUCGCUGCCGAUGAAGAACAAGAAGUUAUCCGGCGGCGAGGGCCGAGGAGGUGAGGACGGACGUCCAUCGAUGAAGAGCGAAAACCUCCAGCCUCCUCAACUCAAUUGCCGACAUUCCCAUGUUGAGGAGGCUGCCACUGCCGGAGUGGCACCGCACCUUCCAAAAGAUUCCUCAUCGCC